GGGUUGUGAGGUUAAGCGACUAAGCGUACACGGUGGAUGCCCUGGCAGUCAGAGGCGAUGAAGGACGUGCUAAUCUGCGAUAAGCGCCGGUAAGGUGAUAUGAACCGUUAUAACCGGCGAUUUCCGAAUGGGGAAACCCAGUGUGACUCGUCACACUAUCAUUAACUGAAUCCAUAGGUUAAUGAGGCGAACCGGGGGAACUGAAACAUCUAAGUACCCCGAGGAAAAGAAAUCAACCGAGAUUCCCCCAGUAGCGGCGAGCGAACGGGGAGGAGCCCAGAGCCUGAAUCAGCAUGUGUGUUAGUGGAAGCGUCUGGAAAGGCGCGCGAUACAGGGUGACAGCCCCGUACACAAAAGCGCAUGUGCUGUGAGCUCGAAGAGUAGGGCGGGACACGUGGUAUCCUGUCUGAAUAUGGGGGGACCAUCCUCCAAGGCUAAAUACUCCUGACUGACCGAUAGUGAACCAGUACCGUGAGGGAAAGGCGAAAAGAACCCCGGCGAGGGGAGUGAAAAAGAACCUGAAACCGUGUACGUACAAGCAGUGGGAGCCCCACCACUAAGCCAGUGGUGAACUCCACAUACGCAUCCUUUGCUGAGGAUACGGUUAACGGAGCGCAAGCGACGUUCAACCGCAAAAGAAGCAGAGGGGGCUUAGUGGUGGGGUGACUGCGUACCUUUUGUAUAAUGGGUCAGCGACUUAUAUUCUGUAGCAAGGUUAACCGUAUAGGGGAGCCGCAGGGAAACCGAGUCUUAACCGGGCGUUAAGUUGCAGGGUAUAGACCCGAAACCCGGUGAUCUAGCCAUGGGCAGGUUGAAGGUUGGGUAACACUAACUGGAGGACCGAACCGACUAAUGUUGAAAAAUUAGCGGAUGACCUGUGGCUGGGGGUGAAAGGCCAAUCAAACCGGGAGAUAGCUGGUUCUCCCCGAAAGCUAUUUAGGUAGCGCCUCGUGAAUUCAUCUCCGGGGGUAGAGCACUGUUUCGGCUAGGGGGCCAUCCCGGCUUACCAACCCGAUGCAAACUGCGAAUACCGGAGAAUGUUAUCACGGGAGACACACGGCGGGUGCUAACGUCCGUCGUGAAAAGGGAAACAACCCAGACCGCCAGCUAAGGUCCCAAAGUCAUGGUUAAGUGGGAAACGAUGUGGGAAGGCCCAGACAGCCAGGAUGUUGGCUUAGAAGCAGCCAUCAUUUAAAGAAAGCGUAAUAGCUCACUGGUCGAGUCGGCCUGCGCGGAAGAUGUAACGGGGCUAAACCAUGCACCGAAGCUGCGGCAGCGAACGUAUCACUUAAAGCGAUUCAGCGGAUGACGAUUGACGGAGCGAAGCGACGUCAAAGCGUAUACAAAGUCGAGUCGGUUUAAGGAUACGUUCGUUGGGUAGGGGAGCGUUCUGUAAGCCUGCGAAGGUGUGUCGUGAGGC
Molecule: ribosomal RNA, 1420 nt
Filed under: Salmonella enterica subsp. enterica serovar Uzaramo
Lineage: Bacteria; Pseudomonadati; Pseudomonadota; Gammaproteobacteria; Enterobacterales; Enterobacteriaceae
Description: partial 23S ribosomal RNA
Rfam family: Bacterial large subunit ribosomal RNA
Source: RNAcentral